This is a long non-coding RNA of Equus caballus (horse), 1783 nucleotides long. NCBI's taxonomy places the organism in Eukaryota, Metazoa, Chordata, Mammalia, Perissodactyla, Equidae. The record is from Ensembl.
AGGUGAUUUCGGCAUGUCCGGCAGGUGGUUCCAGUGAGUCGAGCAGCUGGUUCUGGCGUGCUCGACAGGUGUUUCAGGCAUGUCCAACAGGUGGUUCCGGUCUGUAUGGGAGGUGGUUCUGGCAUUUUCGGCACGUGUUUCUGGCUCAUCUUAGAGGUGGUUCCAGCCUGCCUGGCAGGUGAUUCCGGAGUGUCGGCCAACUGGUUCUGGCGUAGCUGGCAGGUGAUUUUGAUUUGUCCUGCAGGUGGUUCCGGCAUGCCCGUCAGGUGAUUCCAGAGUCUCCGGCAUGUGGUUCUGGCACCUUGGAUAGGUGGUUCCGGCAUGCCCGGCAGGUGAUUCCGGAGUCUCCGGCAUGUGGCUCUGGCACCUCUGAGAGGUGGUUCCGGAAUGCCUGGCAUGUGAUUCCGGAGUGUCUGCCGUGUGGUUCUGGCAUAGCCGGCAGUUGAUUGUGGCGUGUCCAGUAGGUGGUUCCGGGGAGUGGAUCAGCUGGUUCCGGCAUACUCGGCAGGUGGUACCGGCGUGUCCAGAACAUGGUUCUGGCAAGUCUGAGAGGUGGUUCCGGCACGCCCGACAGGUGAUUCCGGAGCGUCCGCCAAGUGUUUCUGGCGUACCCGGCAGGUGAUUUUGGCAUGUCCGACAGGUGUUUCUUGCAAGUCGAGCAGGUGGCUCAGGCAUGCUCAGCUGGUGCUUCCGGCCUCUCAGACACACCAGAACCACGUGCCGGACAGGCCGGAAGCACCUGCUGAUCAUGCCUGAGCCACAUGCUCGACUUGCAAGAAACACCUGCCAGACACGCCAAAAUCACCUGUCGGGUACGCCAGAACCACGUGGCGCAUACUCCGGAAUCACCUGUCGGGCAUGCCGGAACCAAAUCUCAUACGUGCCAGAACCUCGUGGCGGACACGCCAGAACCACCUGCCGGAAAGACCGGAAACACCUGGUGGACACGCCAGAACCACUCGGCAGACACUCCGGAACCACAUGCCAGGCAUCACGGAAACACCUCUCAGAGGUGCCAGAACCAAAUGCCGGACACUCCGGAAUCACCUGCCGGGCAUGCCGGAACCACCUCUCAGAGGUGCCAGAACCACAUGCCGGACACUCCGGAAUCACCUGCCGGGCAUGCCGGAACCACCUGCCGGACAGACCGGAAACACCUGCUGGACACGCCGGAACCACCGGCUCGACUGGCCGGAACCACCGCCGGACAUGCAAAAUGACCUGCCGGCUACGCCAGAUCCACUCGGCAGACACUCCAGAAUCACCUGCCGGGCUGGCUGGAACCACCUGCCGGUCACGCCAACAUCACAUUUCAGCUACGCCAGAACCACUUGGCGGACACUCCGGAAACACCUGUCGGGCCGGUCGGAACCACCUCUCAGACUUGCCAGAACCAUGUGCUGGACACGCCGGUACCACCUGCCGAGUAUGCCAGAACCAGCUGAUCCACUCCCCAGAACCACCUAGUGGACACGCCAAAAUGAACUGCCGGCUACGCCAGAACCACUCGGCAGACACUCCGGAAUCACAUGCCAGGCAUUCCGGAACCACCUCUCAGAGGUGCCAGAACCAAAUGCCGGACACUCCGGUAUCACCCGCCGGGCAUGCCGGAACCACCUCUCAGAGGUGCCAGAACCACAUGCCGGACACUCCGGAAUCACCUGCCGGGCAUGCCGGAACCACCUGCCGGACAUGCCGGAACCACCGGCUCGACUCGCCGGAACCAUUGCCGGACAUGCAAAAUCACCUGCCGGCUACGCCAGAACCACUUGGCGAACACUCC